RNAcentral lists this long non-coding RNA (279 nucleotides) under Panax ginseng (ginseng). Its description in RNAcentral is "long non-coding RNA (PGIN_LNC000866)". Lineage: Eukaryota; Viridiplantae; Streptophyta; Magnoliopsida; Apiales; Araliaceae. The record is from RNAcentral.
CGCCCUAUACGACUUCGAAGCAAGAGGUAAACAAAUACCUCGACAGGGGGUCCCAUAAAUUUUGGACCACAGUCCCAAUACACACAACUCAAUGAAGGGCUUAGAAAAUAAACUGAUUAUGUUGUACAAGAGAGCUACAUACCCACCCCACAAGUAAUCGAGGAGAGCUCCAUUCCCACCACCCAAGCCUACGAGGAGUGUUACAUUCCAACCUUCCAAACCUAUGAGGAGUGUUACAUUCCAACCAACUCUUCAUUUGCGGGACUUUCUGACGCCAAG